This 615-nucleotide ribosomal RNA is filed under the name Triticum aestivum (bread wheat). RNAcentral's name for it is "partial small subunit ribosomal RNA". Lineage: Eukaryota; Viridiplantae; Streptophyta; Magnoliopsida; Poales; Poaceae. The record is from RNAcentral.
AUGAAAAUAUUAAGCUGGAACAGCCGCGGGAUAGGCGAUCCAGCGACAGUUCUUGAGCUCCGCGAUCUCGUGGAGAUUAGCUCAUCAUCUAUUUUAUGUUUAGUUGAAACUCAGUUGCAAAAGAGUCGUGUGGAAGGUCUUUGGAUGUCUUUAGGUUUUGAUUUCAGUUUUGGAGUAGGGAGUAGUGGUCGCAGUGGCGGCCUUUAUAUCUUUUGGAAGAACUCUUUGGAUGUUGAAAUAAAAAACUAUUCUGAGUAUCAUGUUGACACCUGGGUCACGGAACCUGGGAAGGAGCAAUGGAGGAUGACAUGCUUUUACGGGGAAGCGACCAGGAGCUUGCGCUACAAGACAUGGAAUACUAUGAAGCGUUUGAGAGGGGAGAGCACCCUCCCUUGGAUGUGCAUAGGCGAUUUUAACGAGAUUCUGAGGCCUGAAGAGCAACAUGGCCCUAAUGAGCGUGAUAGCUCUCAGAUCGAAGCUUUUCGGGAUGCAGUGGACGUGUGUGGUCUAGCGGAUUUGGGUUACCGCGGUUUGGACUGGACUUGGGAGAAGAAGGUAGCCGGAGGACAUUAUUGCCGCGUUCGGCUGGACAGAGUUUCGGCAUCACCUUGCUAG